This 26-nucleotide non-coding RNA is filed under the name Rattus norvegicus (Norway rat). The record is from RNAcentral. Lineage: Eukaryota; Metazoa; Chordata; Mammalia; Rodentia; Muridae.
CCCAAAAGGACGUGAGGGAGACAGGG